UGGGGAAUAUUGGACAAUGGGGGCAACCCUGAUCCAGCAAUGCCGCGUGUGUGAAGAAGGCCUUCGGGUUGUAAAGCACUUUCAAUUGAGAAGAAAGCUUUAAGGUUAAUACCCUUGAAGUUUGACGGUAUCUUUAGAAGAAGCACCGGCUAACUCCGUGCCAGCAGCCGCGGUAAUACGGAGGGUGCGAGCGUUAAUCGGAAUCACUGGGCGUAAAGCGUGCGUAGGUGGUUUAGUAAGUCAGAUGUGAAAGCCCCGGGCUUAACCUGGGAACUGCAUUUGAUACUGCUUGACUAGAGUUUGGUAGAGGGAAGUGGAAUUCCGAGUGUAGCGGUGAAAUGCGUAGAGAUUCGGAGGAACACCAAUGGCGAAGGCAACUUCCUGGACCAAAACUGACACUGAGGUACGAAAGCGUGGGUAGCAAACAGGAUUAGAUACCCGCGUAGUCC
Molecule: ribosomal RNA, 449 nt
Filed under: uncultured prokaryote
Description: bacterial SSU rRNA
Rfam family: Bacterial small subunit ribosomal RNA
Source: RNAcentral